GACGUAGGAGGCGAGCGUUGUCCGGAUUCAUUGGGCGUAAAGAGCGCGCAGGCGGCUUGGUAAGUCGGAUGUGAAAUCCCGAGGCUCAACCUCGGGUCUGCAUCCGAUACUGCCCGGCUAGAGGUAGGUAGGGGAGAUCGGAAUUCCUGGUGUAGCGGUGAAAUGCGCAGAUAUCAGGAGGAACACCAGCGGCGAAGGCGGCGCUCUGGGCCGGAACUGACGCUGAGGAGCGAAAGCCAGGGGAGCAAACGGG
RNAcentral lists this ribosomal RNA (253 nucleotides) under uncultured bacterium. RNAcentral's name for it is "partial 16S ribosomal RNA". It matches the Rfam family "Bacterial small subunit ribosomal RNA", at positions 524 to 776 of the family's 1533-position model. The record is from RNAcentral.